This 2922-nucleotide ribosomal RNA is filed under the name Staphylococcus pasteuri. RNAcentral describes it as "23S ribosomal RNA". It matches the Rfam family "Bacterial large subunit ribosomal RNA". Lineage: Bacteria; Bacillati; Bacillota; Bacilli; Caryophanales; Staphylococcaceae. The record is from RNAcentral.
GAUUAAGUUAUUAAGGGCGCACGGUGGAUGCCUUGGCACUAGAAGCCGAAGAAGGACGUUACUAACGACGAUAUGCUUUGGGGAGCUGUAAGUAAGCGUUGAUCCAGAGAUUUCCGAAUGGGGAAACCCAACAUGAGUUAUGUCAUGUUAUCGAUAUGUGAAUACAUAGCAUAUCAGAAGGCAGACCCGGAGAACUGAAACAUCUUAGUACCCGGAGGAAGAGAAAGAAAAAUCGAUUCCCUGAGUAGCGGCGAGCGAAACGGGAAGAGCCCAAACCAACAAGCUUGCUUGUUGGGGUUGUAGGACACUCUAUACGGAGUUACAAAAGUAUAUAUUAGACGAAUCAUCUGGAAAGUUGAAUCAAAGAAGGUAAUAAUCCUGUAGUCGAAAAUAUAUACUCUCUUGAGUGGAUCCUGAGUACGACGGAGCACGUGAAAUUCCGUCGGAAUCUGGGAGGACCAUCUCCUAAGGCUAAAUACUCUCUAGUGACCGAUAGUGAACCAGUACCGUGAGGGAAAGGUGAAAAGUACCCCGGAAGGGGAGUGAAAGAGAACUUGAAACCGUGUGCUUACAAGUAGUCAGAGCCCGUUAAUGGGUGAUGGCGUGCCUUUUGUAGAAUGAACCGGCGAGUUACGAUUUGAUGCAAGGUUAAGCAGUGAAUGUGGAGCCGUAGCGAAAGCGAGUCUGAAUAGGGCGUUGAGUAUUUGGUCGUAGACCCGAAACCAGGUGAUCUACCCUUGGUCAGGUUGAAGUUCAGGUAACACUGAAUGGAGGACCGAACCGACUUACGUUGAAAAGUGAGCGGAUGAACUGAGGGUAGCGGAGAAAUUCCAAUCGAACCUGGAGAUAGCUGGUUCUCUCCGAAAUAGCUUUAGGGCUAGCCUCAAGUGAUGAUUAUUGGAGGUAGAGCACUGUUUGGACGAGGGGCCCUUCUCGGGUUACCGAAUUCAGACAAACUCCGAAUGCCAAUCAAUUUAACUUGGGAGUCAGAACAUGGGUGAUAAGGUCCGUGUUCGAAAGGGAAACAGCCCAGACCACCAGCUAAGGUCCCAAAAUAUAUGUUAAGUGGAAAAGGAUGUGGCGUUGCCCAGACAACUAGGAUGUUGGCUUAGAAGCAGCCAUCAUUUAAAGAGUGCGUAAUAGCUCACUAGUCGAGUGACACUGCGCCGAAAAUGUACCGGGGCUAAACAUAUUACCGAAGCUGUGGAUUGUCCGUAGGACAAUGGUAGGAGAGCGUUCUAAGGGCGUUGAAGCAUGAUCGCAAGGACAUGUGGAGCGCUUAGAAGUGAGAAUGCCGGUGUGAGUAGCGAAAGACGGGUGAGAAUCCCGUCCACCGAUUGACUAAGGUUUCCAGAGGAAGGCUCGUCCGCUCUGGGUUAGUCGGGGCCUAAGCUGAGGCCGACAGGCGUAGGCGAUGGAUAACAGGUUGAUAUUCCUGUACCACCUAGUAUCGUUUUAAUCGAUGGGGGGACGCAGUAGGAUAGGCGAAGCGUGCUAUUGGAUUGCACGUCCAAGCAGUAAGACUGAGUGUUAGGCAAAUCCGGCACUCAUAAGGUCAAGCUGUGAUGGGGAGAGGAAAUUGUUUCCUCGAGUCGUUGAUUUCACACUGCCAAGAAAAGCCUCUAGAUAGAUAACAGGUGCCCGUACCGCAAACCGACACAGGUAGUCAAGAUGAGAAUUCUAAGGUGAGCGAGCGAACUCUCGUUAAGGAACUCGGCAAAAUGACCCCGUAACUUCGGGAGAAGGGGUGCUCUUUAGGGUUAACGCCCAGAAGAGCCGCAGUGAAUAGGCCCAAGCGACUGUUUAUCAAAAACACAGGUCUCUGCUAAACCGUAAGGUGAUGUAUAGGGGCUGACGCCUGCCCGGUGCUGGAAGGUUAAGAGGAGUAGUUAGCUUCUGCGAAGCUACGAAUCGAAGCCCCAGUAAACGGCGGCCGUAACUAUAACGGUCCUAAGGUAGCGAAAUUCCUUGUCGGGUAAGUUCCGACCCGCACGAAAGGCGUAACGAUUUGGGCACUGUCUCAACGAGAGACUCGGUGAAAUCAUAGUACCUGUGAAGAUGCAGGUUACCCGCGACAGGACGGAAAGACCCCGUGGAGCUUUACUGUAGCCUGAUAUUGAAAUUCGGCACAGCUUGUACAGGAUAGGUAGGAGCCUUUGAAACGUGAGCGCUAGCUUACGUGGAGGCAUUGGUGGGAUACUACCCUAGCUGUGUUGGCUUUCUAACCCGCACCACUUAUCGUGGUGGGAGACAGUGUCAGGUGGGCAGUUUGACUGGGGCGGUCGCCUCCUAAAAGGUAACGGAGGCGCUCAAAGGUUCCCUCAGAAUGGUUGGAAAUCAUUCAUAGAGUGUAAAGGCAUAAGGGAGCUUGACUGCGAGACUUACAAGUCGAGCAGGGUCGAAAGACGGACUUAGUGAUCCGGUGGUUCCGCAUGGAAGGGCCAUCGCUCAACGGAUAAAAGCUACCCCGGGGAUAACAGGCUUAUCUCCCCCAAGAGUUCACAUCGACGGGGAGGUUUGGCACCUCGAUGUCGGCUCAUCGCAUCCUGGGGCUGUAGUCGGUCCCAAGGGUUGGGCUGUUCGCCCAUUAAAGCGGUACGCGAGCUGGGUUCAGAACGUCGUGAGACAGUUCGGUCCCUAUCCGUCGUGGGCGUAGGAAAUUUGAGAGGAGCUGUCCUUAGUACGAGAGGACCGGGAUGGACAUACCUCUGGUGUACCAGUUGUCGUGCCAACGGCAUAGCUGGGUAGCUAUGUAUGGACGGGAUAAGUGCUGAAAGCAUCUAAGCAUGAAGCCCCCCUCAAGAUGAGAUUUCCCAACUUCGGUUAUAAGAUCCCUCAAAGAUGAUGAGGUUAAUAGGUUCGAGGUGGAAGCGUGGUGACACGUGGAGCUGACGAAUACUAAUCGAUCGAAGACUUAAUCAA